GAUGAAUGCUGGCGGCGUGCUUAACACAUGCAAGUCGAGCGGUAACAGGUCUAGUUUACUAGAUGCUGACGAGCGGCGGACGGCUGAGUAACGCGUGGGAACAUGCCCCAAAGUGAGGAAUAACUGCCCGAAAGGGUAGCUAAUACCGCAUAUGAUCUUCGGAUUAAAGGAUUUAUCCGCUUUGGGAGUGGCCUGCGUAUGAUUAGGUAGUUGGUGAGGUAAUGGCUCACCAAGCCGACGAUCAUUAGCUGGUCUGAGAGGAUGACCAGCCAGACUGGAACUGAGACACGGUCCAGACUCCUACGGGAGGCAGCAGUGAGGAAUCUUCCACAAUGGGCGAAAGCCUGAUGGAGCAACGCCGCGCGAAGGAUGAAGGCCCUCGGGUUGUAAACUUCUUUUAUAAGUGAAGAAUAUGACGGUAACUUAUGAAUAAGCACCGGCUAACUACGUGCCAGCCGCCGCGGUAA
RNAcentral lists this ribosomal RNA (467 nucleotides) under uncultured bacterium. RNAcentral describes it as "partial 16S ribosomal RNA". It matches the Rfam family "Bacterial small subunit ribosomal RNA", at positions 28 to 523 of the family's 1533-position model. The record is from RNAcentral.